CUGUGUGUUUGUGUGUGUGUGUAUCCAGUGUGUGUGUGUGUGUGUGUAUCCAGUGUGUGUGUGUGUGUGUGUGUGUGUGUGUGUGUAUCCAGUGUGUUUGUGUGUGUGUAUCCAGUGUGUGUGUCAAGCGUGUGUGUGUGUCAAGCGUGUGUGUCCAGUGUGUGUGUGUGUGUCCAGUGAGUGUGUGUGUGUCCAGUGAGUGUGUGUGUGUCCAUGUGUGUGUGUGUGUGUGUGUGUGUGUGUGUGUGUUCAGUGUGUGUGUGUGUGUGUGUGUGUCCAGUGUGUAUGUGUGUGUGUGUGUCCAGUGUGUGUGUGUUGAGUGUGUGUGUCCAGUGUGUAUUUAUGUGUGUGUCCAGUGUGUGUGUGUCCA
RNAcentral lists this long non-coding RNA (370 nucleotides) under Salmo salar (Atlantic salmon). RNAcentral describes it as "lncRNA (ENSSSAG00000110804.1)". The record is from RNAcentral. Lineage: Eukaryota; Metazoa; Chordata; Actinopteri; Salmoniformes; Salmonidae.